Molecule: ribosomal RNA, 429 nt
Filed under: Chloroflexota bacterium
Lineage: Bacteria; Bacillati; Chloroflexota
Description: Chloroflexi bacterium partial 16S ribosomal RNA
Rfam family: Bacterial small subunit ribosomal RNA
Source: RNAcentral
UGGGGAAUAUUGCACAAUGGGCGCAAGCCUGAUGCAGCCAUGCCGCGUGUGUGAAGAAGGCCUUCGGGUUGUAAAGCACUUUCAGCGGGGAGGAAGGCGGUGAGGUUAAUAACCUCAUCGAUUGACGUUACCCGCAGAAGAAGCACCGGCUAACUCCGUGCCAGCAGCCGCGGUAAUACGGAGGGUGCAAGCGUUAAUCGGAAUUACUGGGCGUAAAGCGCACGCAGGCGGUCUGUCAAGUCGGAUGUGAAAUCCCCGGGCUCAACCUGGGAACUGCAUUCGAAACUGGCAGGCUAGACUCUUGUAGAGGGGGGUAGAAUUCCAGGUGUAGCGGUGAAAUGCGUAGAGAUCUGGAGGAAUACCGGUGGCGAAGGCGGCCCCCUGGACAAAGACUGACGCUCAGGUGCGAAAGCGUGGGGAGCAAACAGG